This 780-nucleotide ribosomal RNA is filed under the name uncultured bacterium. RNAcentral's name for it is "bacterial SSU rRNA". It matches the Rfam family "Bacterial small subunit ribosomal RNA", at positions 8 to 749 of the family's 1533-position model. The record is from RNAcentral.
AGAGUUUGAUCCUGGCUCAGAACGAACGCUGGCGGCGUGGAUUAGGCAUGCAAGUCGAGCGGGAUCGUCUUGCUUCAAUCCUUCGGGAGAGAAGCUUGACGUGAGAGCGGCGAACGGGUGAGUAACACGUGGGCAAUCUGCCCUGAAGUUUGGGAUAGCCCGCCGAAAGGCGGAUUAAUACCAAAUGUGGUCGUUUCACGCAUGUGAGACUUUCUAAAGGUGGGGAUCUUCGGACCUGCCUCUUCAGGAUGAGCCCGCGUUCUAUCAGCUUGUUGGUGAGGUAACGGCUCACCAAGGCUACGACGGAUAGCUGGUUUGAGAGAAUGGUCAGCCACACUGGGACUGAGACACUGCCCAGACUCCUACGGGAGGCUGCAGUCGAGGAUCUUGGACAAUGUGCGAAAGCAUGAUCCAGCGACGCCGCGUGCAGGAUGAAGGCCUUCGGGUCGUAAACUGCUGUCAUAAGGGAGAAAAGCUUUGAGAUUAAUAAUCUCAGAGUUUGAUAGUACCUUAAGAGGAAGCCACGGCUAACUCUGUGCCAGCAGCCGCGGUAAUACAGAGGUGGCGAGCGUUGUUCGGAAUUACUGGGCGUAAAGGGUGCGUAGGCGGCAUGGUAUGUCGAAUGUGAAAGCUCACGGCUUAACCGUGGAAUUGCAUUCGAAACUGCCAAGCUAGAGUACUGGAGAGGAGAGCGGAAUUCUUGGUGUAGCGGUGAAAUGCGUAGAGAUCAAGAAGAACGCCGGCGGCGAAGGCGGCUCUCUGGACAGAUACUGACGCUGA